This 339-nucleotide long non-coding RNA is filed under the name Coffea arabica (coffee). Its description in RNAcentral is "long non-coding RNA (CARA_LNC001023)". Lineage: Eukaryota; Viridiplantae; Streptophyta; Magnoliopsida; Gentianales; Rubiaceae. The record is from RNAcentral.
CCGAUUGGCUCCUCUGAAUCUUUACCUUCCUUUCCUUGGUAUUAUCACUACGGGAAUUGUGUGCAUCAGAACUCACUGCUACUUCUCUACUGACACAAGUGCUGCCACUCUGUUUCCUCUGUUUUUUACACGCAGUAUUUUCUUCUUUAUAAACACUUGGAUUCUUUUCAGAAUUAAUUUUGACGUAUUCGUCGUACAAAUCUAGCUUACUGUUGACUGUCGUGUCACCAUUUUUCGCAGAUGGAUGCCCAGAUUUGAGAAACAGGACGAGGACUAUGGCGUUGCCAAGGAUGAAUACAAACCCGGGACUCACCGCCGUGACCGAGAAUCCCCUGAAAU